GCUAGCACAGGGCACUGGUGUCCACCUUGUGCCUCCAAUGAUUAUAAAAUAAUUUGAUUUUGAGGCUGAAAUCUGCAAGGAAAUUUUUCCCACGUCCCAGGAUCAGGAAGUUAGCAGAAGCUGGAGAUGGAAACUGAGAGACAGAAGCCAACAGAAAUGCAGCACAGGGAAGCACCCGAUGGGCACAGUGAGUAUCAGGUGCACCAGGACAGGGAGCAGGUCCCCAGCAGUUUCCACUCAGCCACCAAGAAUCAGUCAGUGACCAUGUCCCUGGGGGUUACCUGAAUAAAUACCAAGUGCUAUCUAUAAAGGAUGAAAAAGAUUUAGCCAACAAGAAUGGCAUGUUCUCUCUCCUGGCCCUGGGCAUGGCCCUGGAGCACAUGGACCCAGCUGACAUGAGUCAGGCAGAGGGAGACCAUCACCACACCAUCCCUCAUGUGGGGAAGCUGCUGCAUCAGGUAGUGGAAAGGGAGAGGACAGGGGCCCCCGGAGAUGGGAAGGUGCACGGAGGGCAGAGGUGAGGGGGGGUGGUGAGGGCCACGUGCAGAGAGGGCCUUGUCCUGGGGCUCUGCAGCUCACAGGGCACCUGUGGCCCAUAGCCAGG
This 604-nucleotide long non-coding RNA is filed under the name Marmota monax (woodchuck). Lineage: Eukaryota; Metazoa; Chordata; Mammalia; Rodentia; Sciuridae. The record is from RNAcentral.